ACAAAACUCUCAAAAACAAAAUAAAAAAGUACAACAUAUAAGCAAAAGACCAGUAAGACAAAAAUGCCCAAACAAAGCAAUAUGAGAUGAGAUACUUUUUAAUAUACUAUUUUAAUGACGUGCUCUAAGAAGAACUCAGUUCCCAGACAUGUGAAAAUUUCACUGGGAGUAGUUGAAAUAAGAAAAGAAAGGAGGAGAAUAAUCCAACAUUGCAAAAUCAUAUUCAUGGUAGAACAUGUCACUGAAGCGAAAUUCUAUGACCAUUGGGAGUAUGGGACCAAGGGAGGAAUGAGUGAAGGAAAGCCCCCUAUUGGUUGAAUUGGAAGGCAGAAGCUCUAGGGAGUUAUCUAGUGUUCUAUGGAGCACAUGGCUCCUGAGUACUAGCUAUCGUGUCCUGGGAAGAAACAUAGUACUUGGAACCAGUAUCAAAAUUAUUGAUUCUAAAAUGGGCACAUUAUAAAUGUUUAUAGGUGACUGAAGGGUUUUUUUUUUUUUUAAAAAAAAAAAAAAAGGUGAUAUUUGACAAUGAGUAUAAACUGUUGGAAUCCCAGCCAUGGUGGAGCCUCCAUUUCUUAGUUCUUCUAUGGACUAGUAGUGGCCUACAGCCUGGGGUCUUUGGAAGAUAGCAUGGUUAAAUUAAUAAAAUGAGUCAUGACAAGUAGCAUCAAACAUCCAUAUAAUACCCAAAUGUCUGCUUGUUUUUGAAGAAUAGAGGAGAUGAACAUAACUGGGUUUAGUAUAUAAAAAGUUAAAUAAUUGGAAUUCCCUGGGACUAAGGAUGGAGAAAUGAUGAAUCAUGAUGAGCCACAAGGCCAUGAGAGGAGGAGCUUGGUAGUCCUUACAAACAUUUCAGUCUUCUCUUUUUAGAAAUAGCUUUUUAAAAAAAUGUCGGCCUAGGAAAUCUGAUAGUUUCAUACCUGUCUACCCUCAUUUAGUCUAGCCUUGUAUUUUAUCACGUUAGGAGUCUAGGAGGCUGGGGACUAGUAAGAAUAUAAAAUUAUGUUUGGCUCAUAUUUCUAUAUUAGAAAGUAUUUGAUUCAUAAAAUAUUUGAGUAAAGAAGUCACAUUAGAACUAAUCUUAUCAAAAUUAUUGAUUCUAAAAUGGGCACAUUAUAAAUGUUUAUAGGUGACUGAAGGGGUAAAAAAAGAGGUGAUAUUUGACAAUUAGUAUAAACUGUGGCUAAAUUUCAAGUAAAAAAUAGGGAAUAACUCUGGUCUAAACAAACAUGGGAGUUGUGGCACAAACAGACACAAUCAGAGCCUCCAGCCUGCAAAUGGACGCAUGUAUUAAGAGGUCUUUAUGCUUUAACAAUACCUAAAAUACCUUGGCUGUCAUGUACAGUAGUUACUCUGUGUAACCUUGUGGUGCCCAGCUAAAAGCUGUGCUUAUUCUUUUCUCAUACAUGCUGUUAGCAACAGCACCCACAUCUCAGAACAAAGCUCAUUCAUGAGGAACUAAUGAAGCGCAAUAGGUGAUCAGAAGUUUCUCAAAACUGUGCCAUUCCUUGACUCACACUGGACUCGAGUGCUAGCAGACAACAGAUUUUUUUUUUUUUAACAAAAAACUAAAUACAGUCAAUGGUGGUGAUAAAGACAGGAGACUUUUAGUUUUAACAAUCUAACUCAUUUUCAUCCAAGUAAAGCAUAAGAUCUGAGGUAGUCCUGAGGCUGAAUCCAAUUUCUUCUAGUUUCAGAUUGUCUUAUAUUUGGCAGGUGUCUAAGCUGCUGGAGCUCUGUUAUUCCAUUUGCAAAGCAGAGUUAAUGCUGGUCUCUGGUGAACUGGUAAAUGUUUAUAGCAAGAAAACCCAAAUUUAUAGGGUGUGCUAAUUUCUACAGUAUAGUUCCUUCCCUUGGUGGUUUAUUUCAGGCUACCGGUGGGAUGUCCCUGAGCACAGAACUGCGAAGCAAUGAGUGACAGGGUCAUAACAUUUCCACCCAUGAGAUGCACUGGGCCUCAGUCAGCCCAGGAGACAAUAGUCAGAGCUAGGAACUAGGAUCUAGGAAGCAAUGCAUCAUGAUUACUACAUUUGUUCUUAGUAUACAUCGGUAUGGUUUGGAUCUAAAACAACUCCUUAAGUCUCAUGUACUCAAGGCUUCAUUUUCACCACAGCAGUGUUCAGACAGUUGAUUGGAUCAUAAGGGCUCUGACAUCAUCAGCAGAUUAACUGAUAAAUGAAUUCAUAGCCUGAUGAGCUAUUAAGAGGGGGUAGAAAUUUGGGAGGUGGCACCUCAUAGAGGAAGUAGGUUAUUUGGGACAGGUCCUUGAAGAAUGUAUUUAGUGUCCAGGUGUACCUUCCCCCCAGGUUCUAUGCAUUCUCUCCACCAUGUUGCUUUGCCCCAACAUAGGCCAAGAAACUACAGAGCCAAGUGACUAUGGGCUGAACUCUCUGAUGCGGUUGGCUUUGCCAGUCUGCCUUCCAAUGGGCAGUGCUCACGGAGUUCCACAUCUCCCGUGCUAAAGCGUCAGUGAUGGACAUGUAAAGUGAGUUUGGGCCCUGCCAGGCCAUGCAGCACUGGAAAGAGCGGACAGCGUGCAACCUGGACCGUGGACUGGGAAGCAGAGUGAAAAGCAAGUGGAUACUAUCAUCCUUAUUCUACUGCUGGGAAGUUUGAGACUGGCGAGGUUGGAGCUGUGCUUCCUACUCAGGCCUCCAAACUGCAGAGUCCCCGCCUGGAUGCAUGAUGCCACUGUAGGUGUGACACCAGAAAGCUUCAUGUGUCAAGGAGACUGUCGACUACAGCAGGAAGAUGAAAGCUACAUGGAGCAGAGUUGCCACAGCAAACAGCCCAGCUGAGCUCAGCCUGUAACAGAGUCUCCAUUCAACCUGCACUGGAGGCAAGCUUGGCUGAACCCAACCCAGAUCAGCUGACCCACAGCCAACCCCCAUGGAGCUAUUAUAAUUGAACGGUUGUUGAAAGACAGUGUUGGCAGUUUAUAUGCAGCAGAGCUAACUUUAUGCCUCUUUUGCUGAGUACUUUUAGAAUCUGUCCAGUUCAAUAA
Peromyscus maniculatus bairdii (prairie deer mouse) is the source of this 3001-nucleotide non-coding RNA. Lineage: Eukaryota; Metazoa; Chordata; Mammalia; Rodentia; Cricetidae. The record is from RefSeq and is a predicted model, not a curated record.